GAUGAACGCUGGCGGCGUGCCUAAUACAUGCAAGUCGAGCGAACAGACGAGAAGCUUGCUUCUCUGAUGUUAGCGGCGGACGGGUGAGUAACACGUGGAUAACCUACCUAUAAGACUGGGAUAACUUCGGGAAACCGGAGCUAAUACCGGAUGAUAUUUUGAACCGCAUGGUUCAAAAGUGAAAGACGGUCUUGCUGUCACUUAUAGAUGGAUCCGCGCUGCAUUAGCUAGUUGGUAAGGUAACGGCUUACCAAGGCAACGAUGCAUAGCCGACCUGAGAGGGUGAUCGGCCACACUGGAACUGAGACACGGUCCAGACUCCUACGGGAGGCAGCAGUAGGGAAUCUUCCGCAAUGGGCGAAAGCCUGACGGAGCAACGCCGCGUGAGUGAUGAAGGUCUUCGGAUCGUAAAACUCUGUUAUUAGGGAAGAACAUAUGUGUAAGUAACUGUGCACAUCUUGACGGUACCUAAUCAGAAAGCCACGGCUAACUACGUG
Molecule: ribosomal RNA, 497 nt
Filed under: uncultured bacterium
Lineage: Bacteria
Description: partial 16S ribosomal RNA
Rfam family: Bacterial small subunit ribosomal RNA
Source: RNAcentral